UACAGAGGGUGCAAGCGUUAAUCGGAAUUACUGGGCGUAAAGCGCGCGUAGGUGGUUUGUUAAGUUGGAUGUGAAAGCCCCCGGGCGUCAACCUGGGAACGUGCAUUCAAAACUAGACAAGCUAGAGUAUGGUAGAGGGUGGUGGAAUUUCCUGUGUAGCGGUGAAAUGCGUAGAUAUAGGAAGGAACACCAGUGGCGAAGGCGACCACCUGGACUGAUACUGACACUGAGGUGCGAAAGCGUGGGGAGCAAACAGGAUUAGAUACCCCCGUAGU
RNAcentral lists this ribosomal RNA (275 nucleotides) under uncultured bacterium. Its description in RNAcentral is "partial 16S ribosomal RNA". It matches the Rfam family "Bacterial small subunit ribosomal RNA", at positions 524 to 794 of the family's 1533-position model. The record is from RNAcentral.